RNAcentral lists this ribosomal RNA (581 nucleotides) under Torulaspora globosa. RNAcentral describes it as "eukaryotic LSU rRNA". It matches the Rfam family "Eukaryotic large subunit ribosomal RNA", at positions 56 to 655 of the family's 3401-position model. Lineage: Eukaryota; Fungi; Ascomycota; Saccharomycetes; Saccharomycetales; Saccharomycetaceae. The record is from RNAcentral.
AGAACCAACCGGGAUUGCCUUAGUAACGGCGAGUGAAGCGGCAAAAGCUCAAAUUUGAAAUCUGGUACCUUCGGUGCCCGAGUUGUAAUUUGUAGAAGGUAACUUUGGGGCUGGUCCUUGUCUAUGUUCCUUGGAACAGGACGUCAUAGAGGGUGAGAAUCCCGUGUGGCGAGGAUCCCAGUCCUAUGUAAAGUGCUUUCGAAGAGUCGAGUUGUUUGGGAAUGCAGCUCUAAGUGGGUGGUAAAUUCCAUCUAAAGCUAAAUAUUGGCGAGAGACCGAUAGCGAACAAGUACAGUGAUGGAAAGAUGAAAAGAACUUUGAAAAGAGAGUGAAAAAGUACGUGAAAUUGUUGAAAGGGAAGGGCAUUUGAUCAGACAUGGUGUUUUGCGCCCUCUGCUCCUUGUGGGUGGGGGAAUCUCGCAGCUCACUGGGCCAGCAUCAGUUUUGGCGGUAGGAUAAAUCUGCAGGAAUGUAGCUUGCUUCGGCAAGUGUUAUAGCCUGUUGAAAUACUGCCAGCCGGGACUGAGGACUGCGACUUUUAGUCAAGGAUGCUGGCAUAAUGGUUAUAUGCCGCCCGUCUU